UGGGGAAUUUUGCACAAUGGGGGAAACCCUGAUGCAGCGACGCCGCGUGAUUUAGAAGGCCUUCGGGUUGUAAAAAUCUUUUCUAUGGGAAGAAAAUGACAGUACCAUAGGAAUAAGGACCGGCUAAUUACGUGCCAGCAGCCGCGGUAAUACGUAAGGUCCGAGCGUUGUCCGGAAUCAUUGGGCGUAAAGGGUACGUAGGCGGGUAAGCAAGUUAGAAGUGAAAUCCUAUAGCUCAACUAUAGUAAGCUUUUAAAACUGCUCAUCUUGAGGUAUGGAAGGGAAAGUGGAAUUCCUAGGGUAGCGGUGAAAUGCGCAGAUAGUAGGAGGAAUACCGGUGGCGAAGGCGACUUUCUGGCCAUAACCUGACGCUGAGGUACGAAAGCGUGGGUAGCAAACAGG
Molecule: ribosomal RNA, 402 nt
Filed under: Fusobacteriota bacterium
Lineage: Bacteria; Fusobacteriati; Fusobacteriota
Description: Fusobacteria bacterium partial 16S ribosomal RNA
Rfam family: Bacterial small subunit ribosomal RNA
Source: RNAcentral